CUUUUCCCUCAUACACUUCCGGCCGCCUCCCAGCCCCGCCUCCGCUGGCUCCGCCCCGUGCGUGGCCCUGGGGACCUCGCGCCCUCGCGCCGUUGUCACGGCUGCCCUCUGCUGUGCCUGAAGACAGAAGCGACUUUACACGCUUCUCUGCCUGAGCCGUCCAUUAAAAAAGACGAUGCAUGGGCUUCCCUAGUGGCGCAGUGGUUGAGAGUUCGCCUGCCGAUGCAGGGGACACGGGUUCGUGCCCGGUCCGGGAGGAUCUCACGUGCCGCGGAGCGGCUGGGCCCGUGAGCCAUGACCGCUGAGCCUGCGCGUCCGGAGCCUGUGCUCCGCAACGGGAGAGGCCACAACAGUAAGAGGCCCGCGUAUCGCAAACAAAAAAAUAAAAGACGAUGCAUCCCCCUGAGGGUGAGAGCAGUGUGAAGGCGGGGAAGCGACGAAAGAUGGCUGCACAUGAAUUCACUACAUUGAUGGUGGCAUGCCAAUAGGAUCCACAGAGCUGAAAAUAGCAGUUUAAAUUUCCAGUGUGAUUUCUUCUUAGGCCUGUUAGUUAUUUAUUUUAAAUGUACUUUUAAAUUUCCAAAUCUGGGACUUCCCUGGUGGUGCAGUGGUUAAGAAUCCGCCUGCCAAUGCAGGGGACACGGGUUCGAGCCCUGUUCCGGGAAGAUCCCACAUGCCGCGGAGCAUCUAAGCCUGUGCACCACAACUACUGAGCCUAUGCGCCACAACUACUGAAGCCCGCGUGCCUAGCAUCCGUGCUCCACAAUCAGAGAAGCCACCGCAAUGAGAAGCCUGUGCACCGCAACGAAGAGUAGCCCCCGCUCGCCGCAACUAGAGAAAAGCCCACGCACAGCAAUGAAGACCCAAUGCAGCCAAAAAUAAAUAAAUAUAUUUUUUUAAAAAAUUUCCAAAUGUAUGCUAUUUUUUGUUUG
Long non-coding RNA from Physeter macrocephalus (sperm whale), 932 nucleotides. RefSeq lists it as uncharacterized. The transcript is spliced from 3 exons. NCBI's taxonomy places the organism in Eukaryota, Metazoa, Chordata, Mammalia, Artiodactyla, Physeteridae. The record is from RefSeq and is a predicted model, not a curated record.